AGAGUAGCAUUGGAGGGCAGUCUGGUGCCAGCAGCCGCGGUAAUUCCAGCUCCAAUAGCGUAUAUUAAACUUGUUGCAGUUAAAAAGCUCGUAGUUGAAUUUUAGCGUGUUCGAGUUUGCCAUUCGUUUGGCUUUUUCGAGUUCGCUUUUGGGUUUUCCCUUUUUACUUUGAGAAAAUUAGAGUGUUUCAAGCAGACUUUUGUCUUGAAUACUUCAGCAUGGAAUAAUAGAGUAGGACUUUGGUUCUAUUUUGUUGGUUAUUGAACCUUAGUAAUGGUUAAUAGGAACGUUGGGGGCA
This 298-nucleotide ribosomal RNA is filed under the name Babesia vogeli. RNAcentral's name for it is "partial 18S ribosomal RNA". It matches the Rfam family "Eukaryotic small subunit ribosomal RNA", at positions 538 to 889 of the family's 1831-position model. Lineage: Eukaryota; Apicomplexa; Aconoidasida; Piroplasmida; Babesiidae. The record is from RNAcentral.